Molecule: ribosomal RNA, 305 nt
Filed under: uncultured bacterium
Lineage: Bacteria
Description: bacterial SSU rRNA
Rfam family: Bacterial small subunit ribosomal RNA
Source: RNAcentral
AGCGCAACCCCUUUUGUCAGUUGCCAACAGGUAAUGCUGGGAACUCUGACGAUACUGCCGGUGAUAAGCCGGAGGAAGGCGGGGAUGACGUCAAGUCCUCAUGGCCCUUACGGCCUGGGCUACACACGUACUACAAUGGUGGUGACAAUGAGCAGCUAGGUAGCGAUACCGUGCAAAUCUCUAAAAGCCACCUCAGUUCAGAUUGUUCUCUGCAACUCGAGAACAUGAAGUUGGAAUCGCUAGUAAUCGUGGAUCAGCAUGCCACGGUGAAUACGUUCCCGGGUCUUGUACACACCGCCCGUUAA